GACGAACGCUGGCGGCGUGCUUAACACAUGCAAGUCGAACGGUAAGGCCCUUCGGGGUACACGAGUGGCGAACGGGUGAGUAACACGUGGGUGAUCUGCCCUGCACUUCGGGAUAAGCCUGGGAAACUGGGUCUAAUACCGGAUAGGACCCCGGGAUGCAUGUCCUGGGGUGGAAAGCUUUUGCGGUGUGGGAUGGGCCCGCGGCCUAUCAGCUUGUUGGUGGGGUGAUGGCCUACCAAGGCGACGACGGGUAGCCGGCCUGAGAGGGUGAACGGCCACACUGGGACUGAGAUACGGCCCAGGCUCCUACGGGAGGCAGCAGUGGGGAAUAUUGCACAAUGGGCGCAAGCCUGAUGCAGCGACGCCGCGUGAGGGAUGAAGGCCUUCGGGUUGUAAACUCCUUUUGCCGCCGAGCAAUUUUUUGAGCGUAGGCGGAGAAUAAGAGGUUGCUAACUCUGUGCCAGCAGCCGCCGUAA
RNAcentral lists this ribosomal RNA (476 nucleotides) under uncultured bacterium. RNAcentral describes it as "partial 16S ribosomal RNA". It matches the Rfam family "Bacterial small subunit ribosomal RNA", at positions 28 to 523 of the family's 1533-position model. The record is from RNAcentral.